This 63-nucleotide transfer RNA is filed under the name Kusala populi. RNAcentral's name for it is "tRNA-Tyr". The record is from RNAcentral. Lineage: Eukaryota; Metazoa; Arthropoda; Insecta; Hemiptera; Cicadellidae.
AUUAAGAUGUCUGAUUUAAGUAGCAAACUGUAAAUUUGUUUAAAGGUUUAUACCUUCUUAAUA